GCAAGCAGGAGCGGGGUGGAGAUCUCUCAGAUGUGAAGGGAGGCUUCAUGCUGCCUAUCAGAGCUUGCAUGCAAGCAGGAGGGGGCAGGGCAGUUAGGCAAUGGGAAGCCUCCCUUCCCAGCUGAGGGAUCUACGCCCGCUCCUGCUUGC
Molecule: non-coding RNA, 150 nt
Organism: Podarcis lilfordi (Lilford's wall lizard)
Lineage: Eukaryota; Metazoa; Chordata; Lepidosauria; Squamata; Lacertidae
Source: the annotation of a GenBank genome assembly